CGGGGUGCAGCAGGCGCGAAAACUUUACAAUGCGGGAAACCGUGAUAAGGGGACACCGAGUGCCAGCAUCAUAUGCUGGCUGUCCGGGUGUGUAAAAUACACCCGUUAGCAAGGGCCGGGCAAGACCGGUGCCAGCCGCCGCGGUAACACCGGCGGCCCGAGUGGUGAUCGUGAUUAUUGGGUCUAAAGGGUCCGUAGCCGGUUUGGUCAGUCCUCCGGGAAAUCUGACGGCUCAACCGUUAGGCUUUCGGGGGAUACUGCCAGGCUUGGAACCGGGAGAGGUAAGAGGUACUACAGGGGUAGGAGUGAAAUCUUGUAAUCCCUGUGAGACCACCUGUGGCGAAGGCGUCUUACCAGAACGGGUUCGACGGUGAGGGACGAAAGCUGGGGGCACGAACCGGAUUAGAUACCCGGGUAGUCCCAGCCGUAAACGAUGCUCGCUAGGUGUCAGGCAUGGCGCGACCGUGUCUGGUGCCGCAGGGAAGCCGUGAAGCGAGCCACCUGGGAAGUACGGCCGCAAGGCUGAAACUUAAAGGAAUUGGCGG
Molecule: ribosomal RNA, 545 nt
Filed under: uncultured archaeon
Lineage: Archaea
Description: bacterial SSU rRNA
Rfam family: Archaeal small subunit ribosomal RNA
Source: RNAcentral